AGUGAACGCUGGCGGUAGGCCUAACACAUGCAAGUCGAACGGCAGCACAGUAAGAGCUUGCUCUUACGGGUGGCGAGUGGCGGACGGGUGAGGAAUACAUCGGAAUCUACUUUUUCGUGGGGGAUAACGUAGGGAAACUUACGCUAAUACCGCAUGCGACCUACGGGUGAAAGCAGGGGAUCUUCGGACCUUGCGCGAUUGAAUGAGCCGAUGUCGGAUUAGCUAGUUGGUGGGGUAAAGGCCCACCAAGGCGACGAUCCGUAGCUGGUCUGAGAGGAUGAUCAGCCACACUGGAACUGAGACACGGUCCAGACUCCUACGGGAGGCAGCAGUGGGGAAUAUUGGACAAUGGGCGCAAGCCUGAUCCAGCCAUACCGCGUGGGUGAAGAAGGCCUUCGGGUUGUAAAGCCCUUUUGUUGGGAAAGAAAAGCAGCAGGUUAAUACCCCGCUGUUCUGACGGUACCCAAAGAAUAAGCACCGGCUAACUUCGUG
This 492-nucleotide ribosomal RNA is filed under the name uncultured bacterium. RNAcentral's name for it is "partial 16S ribosomal RNA". It matches the Rfam family "Bacterial small subunit ribosomal RNA", at positions 29 to 507 of the family's 1533-position model. The record is from RNAcentral.